CCAUUAAACUUGAAGUUAAUUAGUAUGGGAAGACUGUAAUUUAUCGAGAUUGCCUGAAUGGAAGUAAGGGCGUUGCUAUUUAAUUAGCAAGUGCAUUUGGAUUUUUAGAUUUUUUUUUCCUUUUUGAUUUUAUUCAAAAUAAUUGUAAGUGCUUUGCAUACAAUGAAAGAAGAGUAGAUUAAGGACAGGCGACUGAAAGGACAUUAAAAAACUAUGACAUAAUAUUAAUUUUUUUGCCAUUAAGUGCGUGCUUUUGAUCAGAUAAGACAACUUUUAUUGCUGUGGUCUAUUCUCAUUUUGUAUCUUAAUUAUGCCUGGAAAGAUUCUUUAAAUGACAAAGUCCUAAUUUAUAUUACCACAAAGGACCAAUCUUACAGAGUUAUUAAACCAGAACGUGCCUGUUCGUUGCUUCUUCUCCUUCCCUGUUUCUGAGACCUUCCACUGACGUCAUGGGCACCUUCAGCUGAUUUCCAGAAAAGUUUACACUCAGCUGUGUUUUAUACGGUGGGCUGCUUUCCUUGUUUUCCUUAAUUUAGGAUAACUCAUUGUAGAUUGAAACUUCACUAACAUCACUGCUUCUCCAAAUUAACAAGUGAUGGGACAAGAGGAAAUGGCCUCAAGUUGCACCAGAGGAUAUUAGCAAAAAUUUCUUUGCCAAAAAGGCUGUCAAGCACUGGAACAGGCUGCCCAGGGACGCAGUGGAGUCACCAUCCGUGGAGGGAUUUAAGAGAUGUGUGAAUGUGGCGUUUGGGGAUGUGGUUCAUUGGUGGCCUUGGAAGUGCUGGGGAACGGUUGGACACGAUGAUCUUCUUUCCAAAGUAAGUGGUUCUGUAAUUUACAGCUACUCUCCUCCAUGAAGAGUGAAGCUGCUGCUGCUCACAGGAGGGGACUUGGCCCUCCAGUUCCUAAUCCUGCAGCAUGUCCCAGUAAGGUACAGUGGGAUGGGGCAUUGUCAUGACAAGUGCACUGAAUAAAGUAGAGAAAAUUCUCUCUGGGGAGCACACAACAUGCUCAGUCCGUCCAUCCAUCCAUCCAUCCAUCCAUCCAUGGCCUCCCAGCGAGGGACACAAGAUUUGCCCUGUACAUGACAGCAUUUCGGCACAGUGAUGACCCCGACCUUCGGGGCUGUGAUGACCCCGCGUCGUGUGGUCUCACGGCUGCAUGGGGACCCCCCAGACCCUCGGCCCUAGCGCUGUUUUUCGGGAACGCGGCCGCCCCUCAGCCCGUCCGGUCCCCUCGGCGCGGGGCUGGCGCGGCCAUGGCGCUGAGGGCGGCUGAGGGGCAUCCCCGUGCGGCGGGCGCCCCCUGCCGGCCGCCUGUGCCCCACAGGGCCCGGCCUGGGCUCCGCGGGCCGCAGGAAACCCCCGAGAGCGCCGGCAGAGAGAAACCUCAAACACCGCCUUUUUAAACCCUCCGGGAUAGACAGAGCCUCUAACACCGCCUUUUUAAACCCUCCGGGAUAGACGGAACCUCUAACACCGCCUUUUAGUGGUAGCGAGUAAGGUGUUACUGUGUUCUUGCUCAAGAGGUAUUUGCAGCUGCCUCUGCAUGAGCAAGCUCCAUAUCUCUACAUGGCUCCCUUCUGCCUCCUGUGAACAGUGAUAAUAUCACUUCCCUGCCUCCCAAGACUGCUGGAUCUAUAACACAUUCCUGAAACCUCAUCCGCAGGCUGGCUAAUCCACAAUUGUCCCUAACCUGUUUGAGACUGCAGGUUCCCUGACAGGUGGGACUCCGUGCUGCUCAGACUCCCUGCUCCUCACCUGCUGGCCGCACUUUGAUCCCGUGGUACGUCUGCAGCAUCGCCACGCCGUUCUCCACCCUAACGCUGAGGCAAUACUGUCCCGCGUCCCUGAAGGUGUGGCUGAGGUUGUAGCAGGAGCCACUGAUCUCCACCAGAUGGCAUUUGUCACCUUCAAGUGGAAUGCAUUCGGAUUUUAUAAGCCAGCAUAAUGCCAGUGGUGGGCUGAAACGACAAGAGAAAAGAGGCAAAAUUUAAAAAAAGGUGAAAAUGCUGCAAAAAUUUCAGCAAAGAACUUGGUUAAAAUAGCAGAAUAAUUUUGAAACUAAUGACGUUAAUCUAAACACAAAUAAAGAAGUAGUUAACUGCACAGUUGUUUGGUUUAUAGCAUUUGCCAAAUGAAAAAGUUCUUUGUGAUGCUUCUAUAAAGGCAAGCCUUUCAGCUGAGAGCUGAAUACCUGCAAGGGUCAACAGCAGGCCACUGUGUGUAGAAAAUAGUCCUUCUUCCAUAGUCCUUCUUCAAUAAAGAUAAAAGGAAUCUUUUUUCCCUGCACUCCAAGGGAAGGUUAUUUUUCCUUUGUCCUUCUCGCACAGAAAUCACUGUCUGUACCGCUGAAGCACAUCCAAGACUGUUCUAAUUUUAAAAAACCCACAAAUGAAACUGCAAAGAAUAUAAGAUGAGCUCUGUACAAAGGACUAAUAGCCAGAAAAUGUAAGUAAGUUUCAAGGAUCACAGCACCCCUUACAUUAACAAAAGGUUUUUUAUUUGCCAUCAAGCAAUUUAGUGCAACCCCCUUCAUGGCCAUGUGGCCUCUCACCACAUCUAAUUGAAGCCUUUUAUUUACCCUUCCAGAUCCCUCUUUCAACUGAUUCUGCUUGAACUCACCUUAUGCACUAUAGACUUUGAUUCUGAUAACAGCCAGAGCUUUUCCUUACCCUAUUUUAUUACAAUUUUGUUUCUUAUCUCUUUACAAUGACCGUUGGCUAAAGAAAGCAUUGUGUUUAUGUGUUUAUCUCAUUUUCAAGCUUUGUUUUUGAUAACCCAUCUCUUUGUCACUGCAUCUCUAUCUUAAGCUCCUCUUGCAUCAGUGCCAGUCCCGUGACUAGGAGGUUACCAAGCCUGCUUUCAUUGAUCUCAGGUUUGCCUGUCAUAGUUUUUGGCUGUUCACAUUCACUGGUAUGCCAUCUCCAGUUCCCAUUCCUGCCGAUGUGCCUUUCACUUUCUGAAUGCAAACUGUGCUGCUUUGUCUGUUGGGACUGUUUAUGCCUCUGGCAAACGACUCUGUGUUUGGGUGCUGCUUGCUCCAAAACUCCAAUGUGUUCUAAUGCUGCAACUUGAGAGAGCUUGUGCUGGGAUUGUGGUGCUCACAACUCUCCUGUUUUCCUAUAAUCCUUGCUGCAUGGAGCUUCUAUAUCUUAUCCAUUUUGUGGCAAUCAUAACUUUCCCAGAAUUACUCCCCAAGCCUAUUAAUCCCCUAUGCCAGCCAAGUUUGCUGCUAUGCAACAGGACUUGGGAUAUAUUUUAAUUUAAUAGUGGGGAAAUUGGUGAAGGACAAAAAUUCAAAAGGAAGUUUUCAGAUGUGUUUUUCCCCACUAUUUCUCUGGCUACUUGUCUUUUAACAUUCUCUUUACAAAGAUAAAAAAAAUAACAUUUGCUUUACAUAGGAGAAUUCUAGUUUUCUGUAAAAAUGCAGGUUCUUUCAGGCUCUAGAGCUCAUGGUAUUUCAAGUCAGGAAAAUGCAAUAUUCAAUGGUAUUUUGCUCAAAGAAAAUUUGGUUGGUUUUUUUUUUUUUUUUUUUUUUUUUACGUAACUUGUGUGGGGUGCAACUGACUAUAUUAAGGAAACACUGGGGGAAACCACAGACAAUUUUUGGGAGGAAAGAAGUUGUGCUUUCUACUUACGUGCCGUUGAUAUGAAGAGAUAAAUUCAGGUUUUCCAUUACCUGAGUCUCUCUGGAGCCCACUACGUUGAUACUUUUAACAGCAUCUGAGAAGAAAUGAAAAGGCAGCAUGUCACACUCCACAUGUAAACUUGAGUCUCACUGGUUUCCCAGUGAAGGUUUUUUUCCACAGACUUGCAGAUUGGAGCUCCAUCAGUCACACAAAUAAUACUACUUGUCUGACACCCCGCAAGGAAACCUACCAAGAGAGAUGAUAUGAACAUCUGAAUCAGAGCCAUCUUGAAUACUUGUUAAAGCAGACAAAGUAAGCACACCUACCCAUCUCCAAAAUCCCAGUUGUAGACAAAUGAUGCUGACUGGAAGUAAUGACUUGGGUCAUGAAGAGAGAAAGAAAUCCGGGUCACUGUGUCUGUGGAGGAUCUAGAACCAUGUGUGGUAACUCUGCUGUCUUCUAUCAGGGCAAGGGAGCCACCACACUGCUAACAGGGACCUGAAUCUUUGACCUUCAGAAGUUGUAUUUCUCACUCAUCCAUGACCUCGAAUGUGAAAGGAGCAUUGGGGCCAGCUAACUCCCUUGCUGGCUUUUCUGCCCCCAUCAGCUUGGACGGGAUGAAAGGGACUGCAUUUGUGCCUGCAUUCUUUUUUACAGAUCACAGGUGCUGAGCAAUUCUGGAGGCAGAAGGACUGUGAGAAAUGAACUGUAACGUUACUGCCUGCGAAAGAACUCCACUGUUCCCAUUUCACAGCACAAGAAAUGGCCCUGGGUUCAAUUUUUUGAGUUAAAAGAGAAAUGCUUGUGUUUUGAUGAAAUCUGGCACAGGGAGGUUUCAUGUCUCUAGAAGAAUCAGGCUAUGCUCCACUUUGUUUCAGCAGAAUUCAGGAAAAAAUAGCCAACUAACUCAUGCUUAUCUAGCACUUCUCCUUGGAGGUUAUCAUGGUGCUUUGCAAAUCAGGGCCAUACCGGCCUGAGAGGUGCAGCAGCUGGAGGUUCAGUGGCUAAUCCAAGGUCACCCAGGGAGCGACCGGCACAGCAAGACAUUCCAUCCAAGUCAGGGAUUUCUCCUACCUUUCCGACCUGUCUCUGCAGAAUGGAGCUCUGUGAGUCCCACAGCGAGGGACAGCGGCUGCCCAGGUGCCUUGUGACCCGCGGCGCGAGGUCAGCGGAGGAAGCAGAAGUGCAGCUUUUGAGUUAGAAGUGCAAAGCAGAACCCCGGCUGCCCGGGAUGCCCCACCUUCACUGCAGGCACCAAGAUCACAGAGCCUGAGAAUAAAGUCUGGGGUGGUGGGAGCGUGCCAAGAGCUGCUUCCAUCCCUUGUCACAUCUAUCAAGCUCGGGCAGGGAACCCCCCACAACAGUGAUGCAGCUCACGUCUGAGGUCUGAGCCCUCGCCCCCCGCACCCCUCGCCCGCUGCCCGGCGGCGAUACCAGCGCAGACCGGCGGCCCCUUACCUGCGGCCGGGGAGCGACCGUGGCCGAGCUGCAGCAGCAGCAGCAGCAGCAGCACGCAGAGCAGCUGCCGCAUGCUGGGGGCCGCGGCUCGGUGCCGCC
Molecule: long non-coding RNA, 5188 nt
Organism: Corvus hawaiiensis (hawaiian crow)
Lineage: Eukaryota; Metazoa; Chordata; Aves; Passeriformes; Corvidae
Exons: 5
Source: RefSeq, a predicted model, not a curated record